This 468-nucleotide ribosomal RNA is filed under the name uncultured bacterium. RNAcentral's name for it is "partial 16S ribosomal RNA". It matches the Rfam family "Bacterial small subunit ribosomal RNA", at positions 36 to 507 of the family's 1533-position model. The record is from RNAcentral.
UCCUCCCUCUUUCCUCGUGCUUAACACAUGCAAGUCGAACGGAAAGGCCCUGCUUUUGUGGGGUGCUCGAGUGGCGAACGGGUGAGUAACACGUGAGUAACCUGCCCUUGACUUUGGGAUAACUUCAGGAAACUGGGGCUAAUACCGGAUAGGAGCUCCUGCUGCAUGGUGGGGGUUGGAAAGUUUCGGCGGUUGGGGAUGGACUCGCGGCUUAUCAGCUUGUUGGUGGGGUAGUGGCUUACCAAGGCUUUGCCGGGUAGCCGGCCUGAGAGGGUGACCGGCCACAUUGGGACUGAGAUACGGCCCAGACUCCUACGGGAGGCAGCAGUGGGGAAUAUUGCACCAUGGGCGGAAGCCUGAUGCAGCAACGCCGCGUGCGGGAUGACGGCCUUCGGGUUGUAAACCGCUUUCGCCUGUGACGAAGCGUGAGUGACGGUAAUGGGUAAAGAAGCACCGGCUAACUACGUG